RNAcentral lists this ribosomal RNA (468 nucleotides) under uncultured bacterium. Its description in RNAcentral is "partial 16S ribosomal RNA". It matches the Rfam family "Bacterial small subunit ribosomal RNA", at positions 28 to 507 of the family's 1533-position model. The record is from RNAcentral.
GACGAACGCUGGCGGCGUGCUUAACACAUGCAAGUCGAACGGAAAGGCCCUGCUUUUGUGGGGUGCUCGAGUGGCGAACGGGUGAGUAACACGUGAGUAACCUGCCCUUUACUUUGGGAUAACUUCAGGAAACUGGGGCUAAUACCGGAUAGGAGCUCCUGCUGCAUGGUGGGGGUUGGAAAGUUUCGGCGGUUGGGGAUGGACUCGCGGCUUAUCAGCUUGUUGGUGGGGUAGUGGCUUACCAAGGCUUUGACGGGUAGCCGGCCUGGAAGGGUGACCGGCCACAUUGGAACUGAGGUACGGCCCAGACUCCUACGGGAGGCAGCAGUGGGGAAUAUUGCACAAUGGGCGGAAGCCUGAUGCAGCAACGCAGCGUGCGGGAUGAAGGACUUCGGGUUGUAAACCGCUUUCGCCUGUGACGAAGCGUGAGUGACGGUAAUGGGUAAAGAAGCACCGGCUAACUACGUG